AUGCACGCUGUUGAAGAUGCCCUAACAACAACCCAGGAAAGACAUCGGGGCGCACCAACCCCUCCCCCACCUUUCCCAAUGGCCGACGCCUCUUCGGGCGGCGGCGGCCGCGCGCCCCGUCCGUCAACCUCCCCGUCCGACCCUAAGCUUGAGCACUCGGCGUCGGCAUCCCUCGACGGUGGCCUCCUCCUCCGUCUCCUCCAAAACUCUUCUCCACGCCCGCAACAUCAGCAAAACCCCUCGCAGCCCCUCGCCAAGCCGAACAACUUCUUCGUCGACCCCGCCGUCGCCGCCGUCGGCCCCAUGUUUUCCUCCCCACCGUAUGUGCACGUGGGGGGCUUUGCGUGGCGCUCCUCCUCCUCUCCUCAACCGCAGCUCGGGUCCUCCGAUCCUCGCAUCGCGCAGCCGUUGGAUCCUUACGCGGAACGUGGAGGAGGCGGAUUCCGAUCCGUGGAUGUUGUCUCGAGGAACAGGCCGGAGAAGCCAAGGUCAGGGGCGCCGCCUCCUGGAUUUGGCAAGCCGUCGCCUCCUAAGUUUGCCACGGCGUGGCAUUCGGCUACCGGUCGUGAGGUGCAUGAUGUUUUUGGUGCAAUGCAGCAGAACAGGGAGCAGCAAAGGGAGCCAAACUAUCACCACCCAGAGGGCUUCGGUAGAACACAUAAUACUGAAAUCCAGGAGAUGCCAACUUUCACAGGUGGCCAGGGAGUACUCGGCAGACUGCCCCAUGAAGAGCGCAACACAUCAUUGAUCAUAGGUAGCCAUGGUCCAGCUGCUGUAAUGAUGUACAGGGAGCAGCAGCAGCAACAACAUGAUCACAUAUUAUCAAGGACGCCACCUGAUGCAAAUGCAAGUGCAAAUGCCCAUGGAAUUACUGAAAGGAUACCGCAUGGGGAUCAGCAUAUACUUCAAUUUGCAGGUGGCAGGACACUCAUUGGAGAACAUCAUAUCCAUCCAUCCACAGGUGCCAGAAUACCACACAAAGGUCAGCGGCAGCAAGAGCCCUGCUUGGCAGACAUUUCACAGCGUGAUCAGAGGUGGCAGGGCCAUGCCUCGCUGAAUCUUUCUGCUGGGAUUGUGCUUGAGAUGUUAGGUAAGAUGCCAAUGAAGGAAAAACACCAGGUGACAGCACCUUCUAGCAGUUCAGUUGACAUGGAUGUUAGGGGGGAUAGAGGUAAGAAGUUCCUGGCAGAAUCAACUGGCUUGGAGGUUGGAUUUGGGGAAGUAGGUUUUGAACGUGGAGUGCACGGGCGGGUUGUAGUGGAUGCAAGGAAUUUCAAGGUAUCGUGCCAGAACAGUGAGGUUAGAUUUGCUGCAAAGAAAGAGGAAGAGGAUGCUGACAGCAAGGAGGAAGAUUCUAUAAUUGAGCAGUUCAUGGAUACUGUGGUGAUUGAGGGAAAUGAUGAGGCCAAGGGCAUGGUGGUGCGGAACAGUGGCUCAAGGAGUAAGGACUUCAGAUCAGACUCUUCUAGAGGACAUCAUGUAUCAAGUCAACGAGUAAGAUUUCAGAGGAGAGUCAGGGCAUGUCGGUAUGAUAUAGAUCAAUUUACACCUAAUUUCUUGUCAAUCUUUGACUCAUUGGUGCCCUCAGAAGAGGAAAUUGCAAAGCAGAAUCAGUUGGUAAUAGCUCUGAGCAGACUAAUAAACAAGGAAUGGCCAAAUUCAAAACUCUACCUCUAUGGAUCGUGUGCUAAUUCGUUUGGUUUCUCAAAUAGUGAUAUUGAUCUUUGUCUCUCUAUUGAUGACAAGGAAAUGAGCAAGGUUGAUAUUAUACUGAAAUUAGCGGACAUCCUUCAAGCUGGCAAUCUCCAGAAUAUUCAGGCAUUAACUCGAGCAAGGGUCCCAAUAGUGAAGCUUAUGGAUCUGGAUACAGGCCUUUCCUGUGAUAUAUGUGUCAACAAUCUUUUAGCAGUUGUUAACACAAAACUUCUCAGAGACUAUGCACAAAUAGAUCAAAGGUUACGGCAAUUAGCUUUCAUUGUGAAGCAUUGGGCUAAAUCUCGUCGUGUAAAUGAAACAUACCAAGGAACACUAUCUAGUUAUUCCUAUGUAAUAAUGUGUAUCCACCUCCUACAGCUGCGCAGAAUACUCCCGUGUCUACAGGAAAUGGAGGCAACUUGUUAUGUCACUGUGGAUGAUAAUCAUUAUGCUUAUUUUGAUCAAGUGGACAAGCUAAGUAACUAUGGCGCUCACAACAAUGAGACUUUGUCAAGUCUGCUUUGGGCUUUCUUCCAUUAUUGGGCAUACCAGCAUGAUUACACACAAGAUGUUAUAUCAAUUCGUACGGGAAAGAUCAUUAGUAAGCACAUGAAGGACUGGACAAGACGUGUCGGAAAUGACAGGCAUCUCAUUUGUAUUGAGGACCCAUUCGAGACCUCCCAUGAUCUUGGCCGUGUCGUCGACAAGUUCAGUAUCAAGAUCCUCCGAGAGGAAUUUGAGCGAGCCGCCAAUAUAUUGCAGUAUGAUCCAAACCCAAGUGUGAAGCUCUUUGAGCCAUAUGUGCCACGUCCUCCAUCUGGGACCCUUGACGAGGAAGGGAUUCUUAGUACCGCGGGAGCUAUAAUAUGA
This 2565-nucleotide ribosomal RNA is filed under the name Triticum aestivum (bread wheat). RNAcentral describes it as "partial small subunit ribosomal RNA". The record is from RNAcentral. Lineage: Eukaryota; Viridiplantae; Streptophyta; Magnoliopsida; Poales; Poaceae.